AUGAUGUUAAUGAUAAAGUAUUGCCUAUCUUGAAAACAUACCUAACUUUUGCUGUAAGGGUUCUUGCUUAUUUCACUGAAAACCAGCAAAGGUAUUGAUCACCUUUUAGGACUCAUGAAAAAUGUUGAGGGAUGGAAAUUCCUCAGUAACAAAAAGGUUGAGGAAUAGAAAUUGGGGUAAGUCUAUUCCAUACGGAUGAAUGAUGUGUGAUAGAAAUAUUGAUAACUGAGUAAUGACUUGACAAUUUUCUUUUAUGGCUCUUGCCUGGAGUACCCAUUCUAGAGCAGGCAAAAAAGUAUGAAGGGCCUUUACAGAAGCAGCACACCAGUUCAAUAUUCAAUAUAAAGUCUCAUAGGAAUGUGGCAGGUGACAUAAUAUUUCAGAGUUGUUAGGUACAAUCCUGACACCUAAGAAUAGGCUGAUUCAUUAGGGCAUGUCUUCUAACCAAUGUGUGCUCUUUUGAGAUGAUAAGGUAGGAUAUGACUUACUCAGCUUGUAGGGGUAUUGUCUGUUCUGCCUUGAAUUUGCUGGAAGGAUAUUAAAUGUGUCAAAGCUGAUGUGGCUCAGAUUUUGGUGAGGCACCUGGAAUGCAGGUGGCUGGAGAAGGGUCUGUGGUACAUGUCAGCAUUAGGGCUUCCCAAGACACCCACUGUGGACACAAAUGUAAAUUCAAGCAUUGCUACUAAAUAAAGCUGGGCAAGUGUACCAGGCAAACAUGGAUAUUCAGGGAGAGACCUGACCUGUCACAUGUGAAACUCCUUAACUUAAUUGUAAUCACAUUGGAGAAAGAGAUCAGUCAAUAUCUAGAGGCACUCUCAGAUGGCAGUGCAGGACAAAAUAGUAUGAACUGAGGAUGUAGAACAACCAGCAUUCCCCAUAUGCUCCACAUCUCUUCCAAAAGCUGCUGUUGGUUAACAGAGCUGUUAUCUGCUGCUUCAACUGGAUGUACCUCCUGCCUGUAGAUUUUCAUAACAUAUCUUGAGUGCAUCUCUUGCACAAGAUGAGCUACCUACCUUGAAGAUGUGUGGGAUUUCAUGGCAUGGAUUAAUUGGACUCCAUAACUUCAGUCACUUUUGAGAUGACCCUAGUUUGUGCCUGCAGCAUUCCUCUGGACUUCCUGGAUUUCCAAAGCCUUCCCUGUAAAGGCUUUGAGGAUUCCUAGCCUUCAACAUCAGCGGAUGGUGACUGUACUAUACCUAGUGACUGAGCACCAAAAUCAUCCCACAACAAAGGAAAAAACCCUGUUCUCAUUCAGCUAAUAGAUUUGCCUUGGUCAUUGGAAUACACGUGAAGUUCAGCACCUGAUGAGACAGCCCACUGUGGUCCUAGGAUAUGGACCUGGAAAAUCCAGUGGUCUUCUGAAAUGAUGUGGUUGGAUGACAAUAUCUUCAUCACUGCUUUCCAUGAAUCUCCAAAUGCUGGGAUUGUUUAAUUGUUAUGUCUCACACAUCAAACCAUAGAUGUGGCUGUGGUACAAUGGGACAAAUCUGGAGCUGGGGCAGAGGAUUAUUCCCUUUUGGUUUCUGUUAUGCUGAGCACAUCUAGGCAUGGACCAUGGCAUUUAAGGAGGAUCCAGGUGGAUGCCUCUAGGAGCAGGUGAAGAAGCUGGGUCUCUAGGUUAGGCACUCUGUCACUGAAAAUUCCCUUCCCUCCUCCUCUCACUUGCAAGAUAAGCAAUGCAGGUCAGCGAAGAGCAGUCUGUUGGCAUGCUGUGCGCUUGAAGCGGUAGAAAACCUAGAAGCUGCUUCAUAGAAAAGGGUCCCCUCGCAACAGAGAGAUAGAUCAAGUACCUGCUUCCCUCUCGUUCUGUUUCUCAUUUUCUGAUACCCUUUUUUUUUUUUAACUUUGUAUUGUGUAAUGGCCUGAAGUUGUGUUUUCUUUCUUCACAGAAACUGAAGAAUAAACUUUCUCAGCUUUUUGCAGCUCAAGGCUGGAUUCUGUUUGUGUUUACUCGCACCACAAAGAUCUGACUGCACACUCUUCCAGCUGAGACUUUUGGGCAAAAUAUUACAUAGCGUAUGCUUCCUUCUAUAUUUCUAAUUCAGUCUGUGAGCUGUGCAUAUUUGCAAGGGUUUUUAAAGCUGUCUCUUACAGUCAGAGACCGCUGAGGGUCAGGUGAUGUUUUCAUCUGUGGAGCAUUUGCAAACUUUGCAGGCUGCAGCUUUCUGAGAUGUU
Harpia harpyja (harpy eagle) is the source of this 2175-nucleotide long non-coding RNA. RefSeq lists it as uncharacterized. The transcript has 3 exons. The record is from RefSeq and is a predicted model, not a curated record. NCBI's taxonomy places the organism in Eukaryota, Metazoa, Chordata, Aves, Accipitriformes, Accipitridae.